UGCAAGUCGAACGAGUUCUGAUUAUUGAAAGGUGCUUGCAUCUUGAUUUAAUUUUGAACGAGUGGCGGACGGGUGAGUAACACGUGGGUAACCUGCCCUUAAGUGGGGGAUAACAUUUGGAAACAGAUGCUAAUACCGCAUAAAUCCAAGAACCGCAUGGUUCUUGGCUGAAAGAUGGCGUAAGCUAUCGCUUUUGGAUGGACCCGCGGCGUAUUAGCUAGUUGGUGAGGUAACGGCUCACCAAGGCAAUGAUACGUAGCCGAACUGAGAGGUUGAUCGGCCACAUUGGGACUGAGACACGGCCCAAACUCCUACGGGAGGCAGCAGUAGGGAAUCUUCCACAAUGGACGCAAGUCUGAUGGAGCAACGCCGCGUGAGUGAAGAAGGCUUUCGGGUCGUAAAACUCUGUUGUUGGAGAAGAAUGGUCGGCAGAGUAACUGUUGUCGGCGUGACGGUAUCCAACCAGAAAGCCACGGCUAACUACGUGCCAGCAGCCGCGGUAAUACGUAGGUGGCAAGCGUUAUCCGGAUUUAUUGGGCGUAAAGCGAGCGCAGGCGGUUUUUUAAGUCUGAUGUGAAAGCCCUCGGCUUAACCGAGGAAGUGCAUCGGAAACUGGGAAACUUGAGUGCAGAAGAGGACAGUGGAACUCCAUGUGUAGCGGUGAAAUGCGUAGAUAUAUGGAAGAACACCAGUGGCGAAGGCGGCUGUCUGGUCUGUAACUGACGCUGAGGCUCGAAAGCAUGGGUAGCGAACAGGAUUAGAUACCCUGGUAGUCCAUGCCGUAAACGAUGAAUGCUAGGUGUUGGAGGGUUUCCGCCCUUCAGUGCCGCAGCUAACGCAUUAAGCAUUCCGCCUGGGGAGUACGACCGCAAGGUUGAAACUCAAAGGAAUUGACGGGGGCCCGCACAAGCGGUGGAGCAUGUGGUUUAAUUCGAAGCAACGCGAAGAACCUUACCAGGUCUUGACAUCUUUUGAUCACCUGAGAGAUCAGGUUUCCCCUUCGGGGGCAAAAUGACAGGUGGUGCAUGGUUGUCGUCAGCUCGUGUCGUGAGAUGUUGGGUUAAGUCCCGCAACGAGCGCAACCCUUAUGACUAGUUGCCAGCAUUUAGUUGGGCACUCUAGUAAGACUGCCGGUGACAAACCGGAGGAAGGUGGGGAUGACGUCAAAUCAUCAUGCCCCUUAUGACCUGGGCUACACACGUGCUACAAUGGAUGGUACAACGAGUUGCGAGACCGCGAGGUCAAGCUAAUCUCUUAAAGCCAUUCUCAGUUCGGACUGUAGGCUGCAACUCGCCUACACGAAGUCGGAAUCGCUAGUAAUCGCGGAUCAGCACGCCGCGGUGAAUACGUUCCCGGGCCUUGUACACACCGCCCGUCACACCAUGAGAGUUUGUAACACCCGAAGCCGGUGGCGUAACCCUUUUAGGGAGCGAGCCGUCUAAGGUGGGACAAAUGAUUAG
RNAcentral lists this ribosomal RNA (1460 nucleotides) under Lacticaseibacillus rhamnosus. RNAcentral's name for it is "bacterial SSU rRNA". It matches the Rfam family "Bacterial small subunit ribosomal RNA". Lineage: Bacteria; Bacillati; Bacillota; Bacilli; Lactobacillales; Lactobacillaceae. The record is from RNAcentral.